Long non-coding RNA from Leopardus geoffroyi (Geoffroy's cat), 1007 nucleotides. RefSeq lists it as uncharacterized. The transcript has 2 exons. The record is from RefSeq and is a predicted model, not a curated record. NCBI's taxonomy places the organism in Eukaryota, Metazoa, Chordata, Mammalia, Carnivora, Felidae.
CUCAACUGUUUGUCUCCAGCCUUGACCUCUUCCCUGAACUCCAGAUUUGAAUAUCCACAGUGCCUAGCUGACAUAUCCUCUGAGGUUUUGCACAAACAUCUCAAAUUGAACACGCUCGUAAAAAGGCCCUUGAUUUUUGCUUCCAGACCUGAUCCUUUCCACUGCAGGCCCCCCAAACUUUCUCAAUACACUGGCACUAUGAUUGACUCAGGGGUCCAAGAAGGAAAUCUAGGUGUCAUUUUGAUUUACCCUCUCCUCAUUCCAUAAUUUCAUUAGCACAUCCUGUCAAUGUGAUGUCCAAAAUACACAUUGAUUCUGCCCCUUUUCUCCAUCGCUGCUAUGACUUUAGUACAGACUGUCAUUCCUACCUGCAGUCCUGCAAAAGACUGACUACCUGGUUUAACUUCUACUAUUGCUUCUCCUCUAAUCCUUUUUCCAUACAGCUGGAAGAGUGACCUUAAGGUCAUGAAGCAGAACAUGUCCUCCUGCUCUAAAUACUGCCCAGUGUACCUAGAAUAAAAUCCAAACCUUAAAUAGCUUACCAAGCCUUAAGUGACUGGAACGCUGCCACCCUAACCUUACCUUGUGCCACUCUCACUGUUCUCUAGGACUUUUUCCUCCCAUGAAGAAAUCUUUUAUGGUGCAUCUCCUAUGUGCCAGACACCGUCUGAGGUACCAAAAAUAGAGUUCUUCCCCUCAGACUCAUAGAGUUCAAGGCAUACUGAAGAUAUACUUCCGGGGGCUUGUAAUGUGUGUUGUCUUCGAGCCGGCAAAGGAGUCCCUGAUGGGAACAGUACUGUGAAGCUUUUGGCUCCUGAUUCAUCGACUCCCUAAUAAGCAGAAAAAUAAUAUACGUAUCCUUUGAUAUUUACCAUUACAAUUAUAAAGCCAUUCCUAUUAUAAAUGUAAUACUUAUUCCUGACUGACAACAUAGGCAAAGAACACAGAAAUGAUCCUGAAUCCCAACCUACUUCACUUAACAAUAAAUUGAAACAUGUAUCCCUCUA